Molecule: long non-coding RNA, 1257 nt
Filed under: Junco hyemalis (dark-eyed junco)
Lineage: Eukaryota; Metazoa; Chordata; Aves; Passeriformes; Passerellidae
Description: lncRNA (ENSJHYG00000013672.1)
Source: RNAcentral
AUGCAGGCAGGUCCCGGCAGGCAGAACUCCACACACCUCAUGGAACAGGGAGCAGCAAAGCCAAAAUACACAAUUUUCUGCACCAAAUUGGAGUUUUGGUCAGCAGCGUGUUGGGGCGACUCCCACGGGGUGGGUGGGGCACAGAGCCCUGUCCUCGGAGGAUGGAAGGGGAUGGGGAUGGGGCUGGGCUGGCUGGGGGCCAUGGCAGGGCGGCCAGGGCUCCUUCCCAGCCACAUUCCAAUGGGGAGCAGCUGUGGCAGCUCUGCCCUCCCACCCAGCAGAAGAGGCCCCGCACGGCGGGAGAGGGGGCAGUGCCAGUGCCGGGGCCACGUUCACACCACAGCCCUCACUGCCAGCCAGGAGCAUCACGGACACACAGACGGGACUGGCCCGGCAGGACACCCCCCACAGCCACCACACACCUGCCGGGAGGAACUGAGUGCCCAGCACUGUGACAAGGGACACGGAGCUGCCAGGGCACAGAGGCACAGGGGCUGCAGGGAUCCCAGAGGUGGGAGGGUCCUGCCAGUGCAGGACAGGGACUGUGGAGUGGGGGAGCCCUGCCACGGCACAGAGCUCUCCCACCAUCCGCCCGGCCUCUUGUCCUCUGUUGAGGACACACAAGCCCAGCCCUGGGCAGCUGCUACAAUCCUGGGAAGAUCCAAGGCUCCCAAAGCCAGUCUAGGAUGGCUGAGAACAGCAGAGCAAGGCAAGGGGGGAACAUGGGGAUGCAAUGACACAACACAGAUUGGGGCUGAGGUUCUGCAGAGCUGGGGAGGGCUCAGUGCAGACACCCAGGAACAAACGCAGCCCCAGCACCAGCCAGGAGCCAGUGGCACAGGCACGCAGGCAAACCCUUCCCUGCAGCUGCCCACCUUGGCUGCCUUCUCCCUCCCUCGAAGCCCAGGGUGGUGUGAGCACCAGGGCAGGGAAGGAGGGUCCCCUCAUAGCUGCUGCCUUGUUACAUCACACAGAAAGGAGCACAGGAAGACAGCUACCUACAAACCACUGCCAGCAGAACUCCUUCCCACUUGUUUGGGACCUUGGGGCACCAAAACAUCUCCUGACAAGCCUUGCCACGCCAACCACAAAACAACGCCACGGAUUACAGGAAGGAGGGAGGAGGGGAGAGAGGACAUUGCUGCCACGAUUGCUUUCCCCUUCCUUGGGGAUUCCUCAGCAGGAGGGCGCAGGCUGGCCCUGACAGCCUCACCCUGCCAGAGCUGGGCCCGGGCGGAGGGGCAGCCCCAGCCCUGA